UACAGAGGUCCCGAGCGUUGUUCGGAUUCACUGGGCGUAAAGGGUGCGUAGGCGGGUCUUUAAGUCAGGGGUGAAAUCCUGGAGCUCAACUCCAGAACUGCCUUUGAUACUGAAGAUCUUGAGUUCGGGAGAGGUGAGUGGAACUGCGAGUGUAGAGGUGAAAUUCGUAGAUAUUCGCAAGAACACCAGUGGCGAAGGCGGCUCACUGGCCCGAUACUGACGCUGAGGCACGAAAGCGUGGGGAGCAAACAGG
Molecule: ribosomal RNA, 253 nt
Filed under: uncultured bacterium
Lineage: Bacteria
Description: partial 16S ribosomal RNA
Rfam family: Bacterial small subunit ribosomal RNA
Source: RNAcentral